GGAUGGGAUGGACGAAAGUCUGAAGGAGCGACGCCGCGUGUAGGAUGAAGGUCUUCGGAUCGUAAACUACUUUUAUAUGGGAAGAAUUUGUGACGGUACCAUAUGAAUAAGAGGUUGCUAACUCUGUGCCAGCAGCAGCGGUAAUACAGAGGCCUCAAGCAUUAUCCGGAUUUAUUGGGCGUAAAGCGUCCGCAGGUUGUUUGGCAAGUCUGACGUCAAAACUCACCGCUCAACGGUGAACCGGCGUUUG
RNAcentral lists this ribosomal RNA (250 nucleotides) under uncultured bacterium. RNAcentral's name for it is "partial 16S ribosomal RNA". It matches the Rfam family "Bacterial small subunit ribosomal RNA", at positions 359 to 629 of the family's 1533-position model. The record is from RNAcentral.